UCAGGUUCUCAUGCUUGUGGAUCAGGC
Molecule: non-coding RNA, 27 nt
Filed under: Cricetulus griseus (Chinese hamster)
Lineage: Eukaryota; Metazoa; Chordata; Mammalia; Rodentia; Cricetidae
Source: RNAcentral